Long non-coding RNA from Lethenteron reissneri (Far Eastern brook lamprey), 445 nucleotides. RefSeq lists it as uncharacterized. The record is from RefSeq and is a predicted model, not a curated record. Lineage: Eukaryota; Metazoa; Chordata; Hyperoartia; Petromyzontiformes; Petromyzontidae.
AGCGACGGGAGUGGGGGACCGCUCCUGGGACCCCGCGUUGGGCUUUCGCACGCAGGCGGGGCACGGCGGAACCGCGUUGCUGGAGCUCAUCCUGGACACGCUCCAUCUCCACGGGGCAGAUCACGACCGCCCGCGCUUUGGAGACGGGUCGCGAGAGCUGGUGGCACGUGACCCCGGCACGCGACGUGGAGCAAAGGUCAAAUUUCUCAAACACCUGACAGGUCCCCUUCGCUUCUCGCCCGAGUGCGCACGCUACUUCCAGAGGAUUCUACACGGAUCCCGGGAGUGCGGAGACCCCGCGUGUGAGUGACCCCUCUACAGGGACCCCUCAGGGACCCCACAGCGAUCCCAUGGGGACCCAACACCAAUCUGAUGCACCCAGUCGGGAUUGGCAUGCCCCUGGCAGGGUGGAGUUGAGAGGUGGAGCUGGGAGGGUGGAGCGGGU